RNAcentral lists this ribosomal RNA (441 nucleotides) under uncultured bacterium. RNAcentral's name for it is "partial 16S ribosomal RNA". It matches the Rfam family "Bacterial small subunit ribosomal RNA", at positions 338 to 795 of the family's 1533-position model. The record is from RNAcentral.
CCUACGGGAGGCAGCAGUGGGGAAUAUUGCACAAUGGGGGAAACCCUGAUGCAGCAACGCCGCGUGAAGGAAGACGGUUUUCGGAUUGUAAACUUCUGUUCUUAGUGAAGAAGAAUGACGGUAGCUAAGGAGCAAGCCACGGCUAACUACGUGCCAGCAGCCGCGGUAAUACGUAGGUGGCAAGCGUUGUCCGGAAUUACUGGGUGUAAAGGGAGCGUAGACGGUAAUGCAAGUCUGGAGUGAACGGCGGGGGCCCAACCCCCGGACUGCUCUGGAAACUGUGUAACUGGAGUGCAGGAGAGGCAGGCGGAAUUCCUAGUGUAGCGGUGAAAUGCGUAGAUAUUAGGAGGAACACCAGUGGCGAAGGCGGCCUGCUGGACUGUAACUGACGUUGAGGCUCGAAAGCGUGGGGAGCAAACAGGAUUAGAUACCCUUGUAGUC